Molecule: transfer RNA, 74 nt
Filed under: Sphaerodactylus nicholsi
Lineage: Eukaryota; Metazoa; Chordata; Lepidosauria; Squamata; Sphaerodactylidae
Description: tRNA-Asn
Source: RNAcentral
UAGGUAGAACUCCACUGUAUUGGGUAUUUAGUUGUUAACUAAAGGUUUACGGGAUCGAGGCCCGUCUACCUAGU